Molecule: ribosomal RNA, 467 nt
Filed under: uncultured bacterium
Lineage: Bacteria
Description: partial 16S ribosomal RNA
Rfam family: Bacterial small subunit ribosomal RNA
Source: RNAcentral
GACGAACGCUGGCGGCGUGCUUAACACAUGCAAGUCGAACGGAAAGGCCCUGCUUUUGUGGGGUGCUCGAGUGGCGAACGGGUGAGUAACACGUGAGUAACCUGCCCUUGACUUUGGGAUAACUUCAGGAAACUGGGGCUAAUACCGGAUAGGAGCUCCUGCUGCAUGGUGGGGGUUGGAAAGUUUCGGCGGUUGGGGAUGGACUCGCGGCUUAUCAGCUUGUUGGUGGGGUAGUGGCUUACCAAGGCUUUGACGGGUAGCCGGCCUGAGAGGGUGACCGGCCCCAUUGGGACUGAGGUACGGCCCAGACCCCUACGGGAGGCAGCAGUGGGGAAUAUUGCACAAUGGGCGGAAGCCUGAUGCAGCAACGCCGCGUGCGGGAUGACGGCCUUCGGGUUGUAAACCGCUUUCGCCUGUGACGAAGCGUGAGUGACGGUAAUGGGUAAAGAAGCACCGGCUAACUACGU